GUUAAACAUAUUUUUUUGUGGACAAUAUAAUGUGCAAAAUGGAUAUUAUAUGUAGGAAAAUAUAAUUAUGUUUAUAUAAGCUAUAAGAACAUGGGACUGAAAACAACAUGACCAAGCAAAGAUAUUGUACACCAGUGCAGAUAAUUUGCUCCUCGUACCCAAACACAUCUUAUUUUGAUCAUUGCUGCCAGCAACCUCUUCAUCCUCUCUGCAGCAAGAGCGGACCCCAUGUGCCUUCUCUGAAACCGGUCAUGGGCUAGUUCACACAAGAUACAAAAUGGUUCAAUACAUGUGAAAAGACGUUGCCUUUGCAUGAUGCCAGUGUGCCAAAUAUUCCAAGCUGCAAGAGGAUGAAUCAGGUCCUCGAUGGCUUAACAUUUCACAAUCAUAAAUCAUUUGCGUUUACUAUUUUUCCAAUGAAUAAUAUCAUCCUCGAUGGCUACAUAUGUUCUCCGUGUGAAGACUUAUUUUGGGAUGGAAGGAGUACAACAUACCAAUAGCAGGACAUUAAGAAUAUUAGCUUUGGUCCAUAUAAAAUUAGAUAUAUUUCACAUAAAUCCACAACCGAAAUAAGAUAAGGACGAUUAUCAUAUAUGUUUAGAGGAAGAUAUAGGAGUGUGUAAUACAUGAAUGAAUCCCCUGCAUCAAUUUGAUCCAAUUUUUAACAAAUAGGUGUAAGAUUUCAGUCAUAUAUAAAGUCAAAUUUUCAUGGUGGGAUGUAGGUUUUCUUGUCGCAUUCAACAUAAUGAUGAGAAAACUUGUGUGCAUGCAAAGUAGGCCGAUCAUCAUAAGUAAGCUGCAAUUUGAUAUAAGAUACAGUGAUAGCUCAACAAAAUCUUACCAUUUCAAGCUGCAUGCAGCUUGUCUGGAUGCUCAUAAAAUUUCUGAAAAAGUGAAGCGAUUUUUUGAAAUUUAGCAUAAAUAGCUUUCAAAAUGCACCUGUAGAUGUGCAAAAAGGAGAGGUUAGAAACAAAACAAAAUAAUAACACAGGUCUACUUUUGAGCAUCAUCUAUAUGUUUAGUGCCACUGAAAGUGAAGCCCCCCUGCAGACAACUUUUACAGUACGGUAGAAAUGAGGUAAAUGCCAAAAAUAAACAGUGUUAUAUUUGAUUUUGAUAAUGUUAGAAGAUUAUGUGUAUAAUUUAUAUUAUAUUUGUCAAGAAUACAUAUAACAGCAGUUUAUGUAAUUUCCUAAAUUGAGUGAAAGAGUAGUUUACGCGCAAGUACCAAAUUGACCUUCACAGCUCACCAAGACCUUCCGGUCAAAGAAAAGAAGCUUAUUAAUAUGUAGCAAAUACUAACUAAACUUAUUAAGAUCUCGAAGCCAACAAGCACAACUUGCUAUGUUGAUAAGCAUUUUGUUCAAUAACCAUGGACAAAGCUACAAGACGGCACACAAAAAAACGCAGCAACAUGAUGCUCGUUUAGUAUCCAUACCUUAUACCCAUGAUACUCAUCAACUGUCACAUAGGCAGUGUCAUUGCUUAGGCAUCAUCCCUAUUCUUCCACAAGAAAUAAAUAUGACGAUCCACUGUAUCUUCUCAUUUUUAUAUUUCAUUUCUAGUACGUAAUAUUGUGUCGUCGUCCAUCUUUCAAAGUUCCGGUUGUUAAUUCUGCAUCAUCAGGUGUGGCAAACUGGAGUCAACAAAAACUCUGAAUCAUUUAUAGUCUCAGUGUUAUCACAAUCUUCCCUGCCAAAGAAUCAUAAUUGUUAAAAGCAAAACAUAUGUUUAUAAAUUCUACUAUGAUAGAAAUGCACAUGAGAGAAAUGAUGCUAGCAGUUUGGGAAAUCUAGAGGCACCAAAACGACUGCACUUUCAGGAACAACAUGGCAUCUAUGCGAGACGUGCUGCAGGCCAUUAGACGGGGCAUCGAUCUAUGGAGGCAGGCCGGAGCAACAUGUUUGCUGCACCCGUUCACUUUGCUGCCAGAGGGGAUCGGCUGAAGCCUCUCCUCUGCUCCCUUUUCCUUUUUUCCGUAGCAAUAGUCUUGUCUCUUUUAUCUGUUCUCUGAUCAUAGGAUCAGCACUAUGUAUUCUUUUAUCCACUGCUCUCUGUUAUGGGUAAUAUGAAAAAGCCAGUAAUGUUGGAUCUUUCAAAAAAAGAAAGGAACUUGAUUGUGCCCCAAUACAUAGUUUUCAUCUCUUCAUUAGAAUAGUAAAAGACAAUACGUAUGCAUGAGCUGAAUUAGAUCGAUCAAUUAAUGCUAAUUGUCAUGUUUCGCUCACCUGUAUGGAAAGAACAUCGACAUCAUUCAUAAAUUAAAAAAAGGACCGCUUGGGAAAAUUCAAUCAUAUCUAGAGAAGAGAUCUCAGUACAGAACCAACCUUGGUUUCUUUGGACAGAUUCUUAGUGCAGGGAUGAAUCUCUUCCAGUCUCUUAUCUCUUAAACGAUGAUCUAAAGAAAUAUCAACACAUGAGAACAUCCCAUAAACAGGGAUGGAAAGGAGGGGAGGGGGAGGGGCGUUCAAAAGGGACUCACCAGUACAAACCACGGCCAGAUCUGGGCUCUGACAGGCAAAGAAGACACUGUAUCCAUGAAAGGAAGGACGUGGAAACAUAAUGGGCUCCUCGCCGCUGUCGCUGCAAGGAACGUCUAGGGAUGCAUCCUACACUGCAUUCUCGUCUCCACCUAAGUAGCAUCAGGAGGAAUGUAGGGAAGGUAAGAUGAUUUCACCUCCAACACAAGAAGGAAGAAGUUGAUUUUACCUGGAAUCUCUACAAAGCGUAAGGCAGACGGGAGGGAGAUGUCGUGACGCCUCGGGUACGCGUAUAGCGUCGCG
RNAcentral lists this long non-coding RNA (2783 nucleotides) under Triticum aestivum (bread wheat). RNAcentral's name for it is "long non-coding RNA (TAES_LNC020854)". Lineage: Eukaryota; Viridiplantae; Streptophyta; Magnoliopsida; Poales; Poaceae. The record is from RNAcentral.